RNAcentral lists this transfer RNA (86 nucleotides) under Trametes coccinea BRFM310. RNAcentral's name for it is "tRNA-Leu". It matches the Rfam family "tRNA", at positions 1 to 62 of the family's 71-position model. Rfam says of the family: Transfer RNA (tRNA) molecules are approximately 80 nucleotides in length. Their secondary structure includes four short double-helical elements and three loops (D, anti-codon, and T loops). The record is from RNAcentral. Lineage: Eukaryota; Fungi; Basidiomycota; Agaricomycetes; Polyporales; Polyporaceae.
GGCGAGAUGGCCGAGCGGUCUAAGGCGCCAGACUAAGGAUCUGGUCCGAAAGGGCGUGGGUUCGAAUCACCGCGGGCAUUUUCCCA